CUCUGUUUCAGAUGACUCAGGGCAUAAAAGGAG
Molecule: non-coding RNA, 33 nt
Filed under: Bacillus smithii 7_3_47FAA
Lineage: Bacteria; Bacillati; Bacillota; Bacilli; Caryophanales; Bacillaceae
Source: RNAcentral